AGCAGCAGUGGGGAAUAUUGCACAAUGGGCGAAAGCCUGAUGCAGCGACGCCGCGUGAGGGAUGACGGCCUUCGGGUUGUAAACCUCCUUCAGCAGGGACGAAGCGAGAGUGACGGUACCUGCAGAAGAAGCACCGGCCAACUACGUGCCAGCAGCCGCGGUAAUACGUAGGGUGCGAGCGUUGUCCGGAAUUACUGGGCGUAAAGAGCUCGUAGGCGGUUUGUCGCGUCGUCCGUGAAAACUUGGGGCUCAACCCCAAGCUUGCGGGCGAUACGGGCAGACUUGAGUACUGCAGGGGAGACUGGAAUUCCUGGUGUAGCGGUGAAAUGCGCAGAUAUCAGGAGGAACACCGGUGGCGAAGGCGGGUCUCUGGGCAGUAACUGACGCUGAGGAGCGAAAGCGUGGGUAGCGAACAGGAUUAGAUACCCUGGUAGUCCACGCCGUAAACGGUGGGCGCUAGGUGUGGGUUUCCUUCCACGGGAUCCGUGCCGUAGCUAACGCAUUAAGCGCCCCGCCUGGGGAGUACGGCCGCAAGGCUAAAACUCAARGGAAUUGACGGGGGCCCGCACAAGCGCGGAGCAUGUGGAUUAAUUCGAUGCACGCC
RNAcentral lists this ribosomal RNA (604 nucleotides) under Rhodococcus (subgen. Prescottella) equi. RNAcentral's name for it is "Prescottella equi bacterial SSU rRNA". It matches the Rfam family "Bacterial small subunit ribosomal RNA", at positions 347 to 962 of the family's 1533-position model. The record is from RNAcentral. Lineage: Bacteria; Bacillati; Actinomycetota; Actinomycetes; Mycobacteriales; Nocardiaceae.